RNAcentral lists this long non-coding RNA (274 nucleotides) under Phoenix dactylifera (date palm). RNAcentral's name for it is "long non-coding RNA (PDAC_LNC013148)". The record is from RNAcentral. Lineage: Eukaryota; Viridiplantae; Streptophyta; Magnoliopsida; Arecales; Arecaceae.
UCCACUCCUUAGGGUAGUCAGAGCAUUGGCUUGUUCAUGAUGAAUUGUAUUUGGUUGAUUUUCUUGAGCCAUGUAUUGUCCCCUAGGAUUACUCACUGGUUGGCUUGGAAGUUUUCCUUUCUCUCGCUUGUUCAGUGCAUUAGCUAGUUGCCCCAUCUGGGAUUCUAGCUUGGCGAUGGAUUGCGUGUGAGAGUGCACCAAUUGUGUAAUAGUUUCCAAACCUUGAAGGGAGUUCAACACUUUUUCCUCAAAAGCUGUGUUUUUUGGGGGUGCU